Molecule: ribosomal RNA, 320 nt
Filed under: uncultured eukaryote
Lineage: Eukaryota
Description: partial 18S ribosomal RNA
Rfam family: Eukaryotic small subunit ribosomal RNA
Source: RNAcentral
CCCCUAGAUGUUCUGGGCCGCACGCGCGCUACACUGAACAGUUCAACAAGUCUUAACCUUGGCCGAUAGGUCUGGGUAAUCUUUGAACGCUGUUCGUGACUGGGAUAGACCUUUGCAAUUAUGGGUCUUCAACGAGGAAUUCCUAGUAAACGCAAGUCAUCAGCUUGCAUUGAUUACGUCCCUGCCCUUUGUACACACCGCCCGUCGCACCUACCGAUUGAAUGGUCCGGUGAAAUCUCGGGACGGCGGCUUGGUCGCUAGCGUCCGACUGCUGAAACUUGAUUAAACCAUAUCAUUUAGAGGAAGGUGAAGUCGUAACA